CAGGACAGUGGAGCCAGAUACAGAAUUGUAAUACUGUGCUGGACCCACUAUUCUGCU
This 57-nucleotide non-coding RNA is filed under the name Blattella germanica (German cockroach). The record is from RNAcentral. Lineage: Eukaryota; Metazoa; Arthropoda; Insecta; Blattodea; Blattellidae.